GCGGGAUCUCGAGCAGCUUGUCCCAUUACAUCCACUGCCAAGAGCAGACAGGGCAUAAAUGCAUUUCUGCUCAUUUGUUUACUCAACCCUCCUCCUCUUACACUACUGAGACCCUCCAGCUUAAGGCAACGCUUAGCAUCCUCGGAGGAUCAGAAGGACAAGAACUGCAGGCUGUGGCAGGUCUGUCAAGGUGCUCCAUGGAGGUCAGAAGUGGAUGCUGGAUCCCUUGGAGCUGGAGUUACUGAUGGCUGUAAAUUGCCCAGUGUGAGUGCUGGGAACCUAUCCUGGGCCUUCUGCAAGAGCAGCAAGCACUCUUAAUCAACGAGCCCUCACACCAGCCCCAUAAAGAAAGUUUUAUUGGAAUUCAAACACUACUCACCUUUUUUUA
Long non-coding RNA from Alexandromys fortis (reed vole), 388 nucleotides. RefSeq lists it as uncharacterized. NCBI's taxonomy places the organism in Eukaryota, Metazoa, Chordata, Mammalia, Rodentia, Cricetidae. The transcript is spliced from 3 exons. The record is from RefSeq and is a predicted model, not a curated record.